Molecule: ribosomal RNA, 253 nt
Filed under: uncultured bacterium
Lineage: Bacteria
Description: partial 16S ribosomal RNA
Rfam family: Bacterial small subunit ribosomal RNA
Source: RNAcentral
UACGAAGGGGGCUAGCGUUGUUCGGAAUCACUGGGCGUAAAGGGCGCGUAGGCGGCCGAUCAAGUCGGGGGUGAAAGCCUGUGGCUCAACCACAGAAUUGCCUUCGAUACUGUUUGGCUUGAGACCGGAAGAGGUUAGUGGAACUGCGAGUGUAGAGGUGAAAUUCGUAGAUAUUUGCAAGAACACCAGUGGCGAAGGCGGCUGACUGGUCCGGUUCUGACGCUGAGGCGCGAAAGCGUGGGGAGCAAACAGG